AUGAUUCCUGAGCACCUCAGGAGAGAUAUCCUGGAAGGUAAAGAUGUCAAUCUGGCCUCACUACUAAUUGCCUCCCAGGAUAUAGUGGAACACAAGACCUACGCUUAUGACGAUAUUUCUGUGGUGGUCAAAUCUAGGGAUGCACGAUUAAAUAGGAAGCUAACCAUUCCUGAAUUUGUAUUAGCUUUUGGCAUUUAUCGGGAUGUGAUCUGUACGGUAUAUCCCCACAGACGUGAGGAGUUUGACUUAUAUAUGCACAGGCUGGUUGAUCUGGGCAACAAAUAUG
This is a non-coding RNA of Pelobates cultripes (western spadefoot toad), 286 nucleotides long. Lineage: Eukaryota; Metazoa; Chordata; Amphibia; Anura; Pelobatidae. The record is from the annotation of a GenBank genome assembly.